This 3114-nucleotide ribosomal RNA is filed under the name Salmonella enterica. Its description in RNAcentral is "23S ribosomal RNA". It matches the Rfam family "Bacterial large subunit ribosomal RNA". Lineage: Bacteria; Pseudomonadati; Pseudomonadota; Gammaproteobacteria; Enterobacterales; Enterobacteriaceae. The record is from RNAcentral. RNAcentral also lists the same sequence under 2 other names.
GGGUUGUGAGGUUAAGCGACUAAGCGUACACGGUGGAUGCCCUGGCAGUCAGAGGCGAUGAAGGACGUGCUAAUCUGCGAUAAGCGCCGGUAAGGUGAUAUGAACCGUUAUAACCGGCGAUUUCCGAAUGGGGAAACCCAGUGUGAUUCGUCACACUAUCAUUAACUGAAUCCAUAGGUUAAUGAGGCGAACCGGGGGAACUGAAACAUCUAAGUACCCCGAGGAAAAGAAAUCAACCGAGAUUCCCCCAGUAGCGGCGAGCGAACGGGGAGGAGCCCAGAGCCUGAAUCAGCAUGUGUGUUAGUGGAAGCGUCUGGAAAGGCGCGCGAUACAGGGUGACAGCCCCGUACACAAAAGCGCAUGUGCUGUGAGCUCGAUGAGUAGGGCGGGACACGUGGUAUCCUGUCUGAAUAUGGGGGGACCAUCCUCCAAGGCUAAAUACUCCUGACUGACCGAUAGUGAACCAGUACCGUGAGGGAAAGGCGAAAAGAACCCCGGCGAGGGGAGUGAAAAAGAACCUGAAACCGUGUACGUACAAGCAGUGGGAGCCCCACCACUAAGCCAGUGGUGAACUCCACAUACGCAUCCUUUGCUGAGGAUACGGUUAACGGAGCGAAAGCGACGUUCAACCUCAAAAGAAGCAGAGGGGGCUUAGUGGUGGGGUGACUGCGUACCUUUUGUAUAAUGGGUCAGCGACUUAUAUUCUGUAGCAAGGUUAACCGUAUAGGGGAGCCGGAGGGAAACCGAGUCUUAAUUGGGCGUUAAGUUGCAGGGUAUAGACCCGAAACCCGGUGAUCUAGCCAUGGGCAGGUUGAAGGUUGGGUAACACUAACUGGAGGACCGAACCGACUAAUGUUGAAAAAUUAGCGGAUGACCUGUGGCUGGGGGUGAAAGGCCAAUCAAACCGGGAGAUAGCUGGUUCUCCCCGAAAGCUAUUUAGGUAGCGCCUCGUGAAUUCAUCUUCGGGGGUAGAGCACUGUUUCGGCUAGGGGGUCAUCCCGACUUACCAACCCGAUGCAAACUGCGAAUACCGGAGAAUGUUAUCACGGGAGACACACGGCGGGUGCUAACGUCCGUCGUGAAGAGGGAAACAACCCAGACCGCCAGCUAAGGUCCCAAAGUCAUGGUUAAGUGGGAAACGAUGUGGGAAGGCCCAGACAGCCAGGAUGUUGGCUUAGAAGCAGCCAUCAUUUAAAGAAAGCGUAAUAGCUCACUGGUCGAGUCGGCCUGCGCGGAAGAUGUAACGGGGCUAAACCAUGCACCGAAGCUGCGGCAGCGAACGUAUCACUUAAAGCGAUUCAGCGGGUUACGAUUGACGGAGCGAAGCGACGUCAAAGCGUAUACAAAGUCGAGUCGGUUUAAGGAUACGUUCGUUGGGUAGGGGAGCGUUCUGUAAGCCUGUGAAGGUGUGUCGUGAGGCAUGCUGGAGGUAUCAGAAGUGCGAAUGCUGACAUAAGUAACGAUAAAGCGGGUGAAAAGCCCGCUCGCCGGAAGACCAAGGGUUCCUGUCCAACGUUAAUCGGGGCAGGGUGAGUCGACCCCUAAGGCGAGGCCGAAAGGCGUAGUCGAUGGGAAACGGGUUAAUAUUCCCGUACUUGGUGUUACUGCGAAGGGGGGACGGAGAAGGCUAUGUUGGCCGGGCGACGGUUGUCCCGGUUUAAGCGUGUAGGUGUGUGUUCCAGGUAAAUCCGGUUCACUUUAACACUGAGGCGUGAUGACGAGGCACUACGGUGCUGAAGCAACAAAUGCCCUGCUUCCAGGAAAAGCCUCUAAGCAUCAGGUAACAUCAAAUCGUACCCCAAACCGACACAGGUGGUCAGGUAGAGAAUACCAAGGCGCUUGAGAGAACUCGGGUGAAGGAACUAGGCAAAAUGGUGCCGUAACUUCGGGAGAAGGCACGCUGACACGUAGGUGAAGUGAUUUACUCACGGAGCUGAAGUCAGUCGAAGAUACCAGCUGGCUGCAACUGUUUAUUAAAAACACAGCACUGUGCAAACACGAAAGUGGACGUAUACGGUGUGACGCCUGCCCGGUGCCGGAAGGUUAAUUGAUGGGGUCAGCGCAAGCGAAGCUCCUGAUCGAAGCCCCGGUAAACGGCGGCCGUAACUAUAACGGUCCUAAGGUAGCGAAAUUCCUUGUCGGGUAAGUUCCGACCUGCACGAAUGGCGUAAUGAUGGCCAGGCUGUCUCCACCCGAGACUCAGUGAAAUUGAACUCGCUGUGAAGAUGCAGUGUACCCGCGGCAAGACGGAAAGACCCCGUGAACCUUUACUAUAGCUUGACACUGAACAUUGAGCCUUGAUGUGUAGGAUAGGUGGGAGGCUUUGAAGUGUGGACGCCAGUCUGCAUGGAGCCGACCUUGAAAUACCACCCUUUAAUGUUUGAUGUUCUAACGUGGACCCGUGAUCCGGGUUGCGGACAGUGUCUGGUGGGUAGUUUGACUGGGGCGGUCUCCUCCUAAAGAGUAACGGAGGAGCACGAAGGUUGGCUAAUCCUGGUCGGACAUCAGGAGGUUAGUGCAAUGGCAUAAGCCAGCUUGACUGCGAGCGUGACGGCGCGAGCAGGUGCGAAAGCAGGUCAUAGUGAUCCGGUGGUUCUGAAUGGAAGGGCCAUCGCUCAACGGAUAAAAGGUACUCCGGGGAUAACAGGCUGAUACCGCCCAAGAGUUCAUAUCGACGGCGGUGUUUGGCACCUCGAUGUCGGCUCAUCACAUCCUGGGGCUGAAGUAGGUCCCAAGGGUAUGGCUGUUCGCCAUUUAAAGUGGUACGCGAGCUGGGUUUAGAACGUCGUGAGACAGUUCGGUCCCUAUCUGCCGUGGGCGCUGGAGAACUGAGGGGGGCUGCUCCUAGUACGAGAGGACCGGAGUGGACGCAUCACUGGUGUUCGGGUUGUCAUGCCAAUGGCACUGCCCGGUAGCUAAAUGCGGAAGAGAUAAGUGCUGAAAGCAUCUAAGCACGAAACUUGCCCCGAGAUGAGUUCUCCCUGAGACUUAGAGUCUCCUGAAGGAACGUUGAAGACGACGACGUUGAUAGGCCGGGUGUGUAAGCGCAGCGAUGCGUUGAGCUAACCGGUACUAAUGAACCGUGAGGCUUAACCUUACAACGCCGAAGCUGUU